Molecule: unclassified non-coding RNA, 335 nt
Filed under: soil metagenome
Description: partial contains 5.8S ribosomal RNA, internal transcribed spacer 2, and large subunit ribosomal RNA
Rfam family: 5.8S ribosomal RNA (bases 1-120)
Source: RNAcentral
GAUGAAGAACGUAGCGAAAUGCGAUACGUAAUGUGAAUUGCAGAAUUCAGUGAAUCAUCGAAUCUUUGAACGCACAUUGCGCCUGCCAGCACUCUGGCAGGCAUGCCUGUUCGAGCGUCAUUUCAACCAUCAAGCCCUAGGCUUGCGUUGGAGCCCUGCGGCUGCCGCAGGCCCCUAAAAGCAGUGGCGGGCUCGCUAUCACACCGAGUGCAGUAGAUUACUCUUCGCUCAGGGCGUGUGGCGGGUUCCAGCCGUGAAACCCCCUACUUCUCAAGGUUGACCUCGGAUCAGGUAGGAAUACCCGCUGAACUUAAGCAUAUCAAUAAGCGGGAGGA